Molecule: ribosomal RNA, 404 nt
Filed under: uncultured bacterium
Lineage: Bacteria
Description: bacterial SSU rRNA
Rfam family: Bacterial small subunit ribosomal RNA
Source: RNAcentral
UGGGGAAUCUUGCGCAAUGGGCGAAAGCCUGACGCAGCAACGCCGCGUGAGGGAAGACGGUCUUAGGAUUGUAAACCUCUUUCAGUAGGGACGAAAUUGACGGUACCUACAGAAGAAGCUCCGGCUAACUACGUGCCAGCAGCCGCGGUAAUACGUAGGGGGCAAGCGUUGUCCGGAAUCAUUGGGCGUAAAGCGCGUGUAGGCGGCUCGGGUAGUCUGGUGUGAAAUCUUUCGGCUCAACCGGAAGCGGUCACUGGAUACUCUCGGGCUUGAGUCCGGAAGAGGAGAGUGGAAUUCCUGGUGUAGCGGUGGAAUGCGCAGAUAUCAGGAGGAACACCAAUGGCGAAGGCAGCUCUCUGGUACGUGACUGACGCUGAGACGCGAAAGCGUGGGGAGCGAACAGG